UGGGGAAUUUUGCACAAUGGGGGAAACCCUGAUGCAGCGACGCCGCGUGAUUUAGAAGGCCUUCGGGUUGUAAAAAUCUUUUCUAUGGGAAGAAAAUGACAGUACCAUAGGAAUAAGGACCGGCUAAUUACGUGCCAGCAGCCGCGGUAAUACGUAAGGUCCGAGCGUUGUCCGGAAUCAUUGGGCGUAAAGGGCACGUAGGCGGGUAAGCAAGUUAGAAGUGAAAUCCUAUAGCUCAACUAUAGUAAGCUUUUAAAACUGCUCAUCUUGGUGUAUGGAAGGGGAAGUGGAGUUCCUAGUUUAGCGGUGAAAUGCGCAGAUAUUAGGAGGAAUACCGGUGGCGAAGGCGACUUUCUGGCCAUAACCUGACGCUGAGGUACGAAAGCGUGGGUAGCAAACAGG
RNAcentral lists this ribosomal RNA (402 nucleotides) under bacterium. RNAcentral's name for it is "partial 16S ribosomal RNA". It matches the Rfam family "Bacterial small subunit ribosomal RNA", at positions 355 to 776 of the family's 1533-position model. The record is from RNAcentral.